AGGACGAACGCUGGCGGCGUGCUUAACACAUGCAAGUCGAGCGGAAAGGCCCUUCGGGGUACUCGAGCGGCGAACGGGUGAGUAACACGUGAGUAAUCUGCCCCUAGCUCUGGGAUAGCUCCGGGAAACCGGGAUUAAUACCGGAUACGACCACCUUAGACAUCUUUUGUGGUGGAAAGAAUUUCGGCUAGGGAUGAGCUCGCGGCCUAUCAGCUUGUUGGUGGGGUAACGGCCUACCAAGGCGACGACGGGUAGCCGGCCUGAGAGGGCGACCGGCCACACUGGGACUGAGACACGGCCCAGACUCCUACGGGGGGCAGCAGUGGGGAAUAUUGCGCAAUGGGCGAAAGCCUGACGCAGCGACGCCGCGUGGGGGAUGAAGGCCUUCGGGUUGUAAACCCCUUUCAGCAGGGACGAAGCGAAAGUGACGGUACCUGCAGAAGAAGCGCCGGCUAACUACGUGCCAGCAGCCGC
Molecule: ribosomal RNA, 474 nt
Filed under: uncultured bacterium
Lineage: Bacteria
Description: SSU rRNA
Rfam family: Bacterial small subunit ribosomal RNA
Source: RNAcentral